Molecule: long non-coding RNA, 985 nt
Organism: Strigops habroptila (Kakapo)
Lineage: Eukaryota; Metazoa; Chordata; Aves; Psittaciformes; Psittacidae
Exons: 2
Source: RefSeq, a predicted model, not a curated record
AGUGUUUGCCACAUUUAGGAACCUACACUUGGAGGAAGGCAGACUCAUUCUGCAGAGGAAGCUCAGCAUGAUACAUACCAGACUUGCAGCACAUUAGGAUAUGAAUAUUUCAUAUGUUUACUAAGCAGUCUCUGUUACUUCUGCUGUUCAGCGAUGCAGAACUAAACCCUCCGCUUACAUUUCCCUCACUGAUCUGAUCGUCACCACACAGAUACGGCUGUAAAGUGCAAUGUACGCUUUGGUUUCCUCAACUAAAGAAAGCACUUCUAGGAUGGGUUCAGCCAAAGAGAGGACCCACAUGCUCAGGUACACGCCUUGAACAGAUGAUCAUCUCUUUACUAGCAGAGAAAAGCCAUGAGCUACCCAACAGAAACCGUUUCACUCUGGCAGACCAGUGAAUCUUAAAGCAGUUCUGUCACGGCAAUGACUUGGAGACACGUGGCAGAAUCCCACAUCAAACAAGGACUCACUGUUAAAGGAGUUAAAAAUCCCAGACUUAGGCUUACAUUGUAAGGAACAACUGAAGAAAGAGGUGGCAAAGCAUGAGGCGAUUCAAACACCGACCGCUUUCAGAACCCAGAAAUACUUCCAGAACCAUCUCAUGGCCAUAAACCCAGGAGGGUGGGGGGGGUCCAGGUGCACGCGUCUGCGCAGAAGCAGAUAUAAAGAAAAUCUGCCAUGAUGGUUUGCUUUUUAAUGAAGGAUUUUCCACAAAACAGGCUUGCUCUACAUGCUAAGUUCUUUAAACAGUUCAGUGACACAAUGUGCUAGCUACAUACACAACAGAUAAUAUAGUAAGAAAACACUCAACCUGAUGAAAAGUUAAAAUCUUCAUUAAUACACUGGAAAAAGUUGACAUAACUCAUGCCUUUUAAAAUCAAAAAUACAAAAAUUAAAUGUUUUCCUAAAAAGAUUUUCCUUAUUUUAAGGACUCAUUUGAAAAUGAAGCUGCAUGUAAUUUGUACAAUAAAAUUGUACAAGUAAA